AUUGAACGCUGGCGGCAUGCUUUACACAUGCAAGUCGAACGGUAACAGGCCGCAAGGUGCUGACGAGUGGCGAACGGGUGGGUAAUGCAUCGGAACGUGCCCAGUCGUGGGGGAUAACUACUCGAAAGAGUAGCUAAUACCGCAUACGAUCUAUGGAUGAAAUCGGGGGACCGUAAUGCCUCGCGCGAUUGGAGCGGCCGAUGUCAGAUUAGGUAGUUGGUGGGGUAAAGGCUCACCAAGCCAACGAUCUGUAGCUGGUCUGAGAGGACAACCAGCGACACUGGGACUGAGACACGGCCCAGACUCCUACGGGAGGCAGCAGUGGGGAAUUUUGGACAAUGGGCGCAAGCCUGAUCCAGCAAUGCCGCGUGCAGGAAGAAGGCCUUCGGGUUGUAAACUGCUUUUGUACGGAACGAAACGGCUCUGGUUAAUACCCGGGGCUAAUGACGGUACCGUAAGAAUAAGCACCGGCUAACUACGUG
Molecule: ribosomal RNA, 482 nt
Filed under: uncultured bacterium
Lineage: Bacteria
Description: partial 16S ribosomal RNA
Rfam family: Bacterial small subunit ribosomal RNA
Source: RNAcentral